This 562-nucleotide ribosomal RNA is filed under the name uncultured bacterium. Its description in RNAcentral is "bacterial SSU rRNA". It matches the Rfam family "Bacterial small subunit ribosomal RNA", at positions 8 to 570 of the family's 1533-position model. The record is from RNAcentral.
AGAGUUUGAUUCUCGCUCAGGAUGAACGCUGGCGGCGUGCCUAACACAUGCAAGUCGAGCGAAGCAUAUAACAUGAAGUUUUCGGACGGAAUGUUAUCUGACUGAGCGGCGGACGGGUGAGUAACGCGUGGGUAACCUGCCUUAUACAGGGGGAUAACAGUUAGAAAUGACUGCUAAUACCGCAUAAGCGCACAGUACUGCAUGGUACAGUGUGAAAAACUCCGGUGGUAUAAGAUGGACCCGCGUCUGAUUAGCCAGUUGGCGGGGUAACGGCCCACCAAAGCGACGAUCAGUAGCCGACCUGAGAGGGUGACCGGCCACAUUGGGACUGAGACACGGCCCAAACUCCUACGGGAGGCAGCAGUGGGGAAUAUUGCACAAUGGGGGAAACCCUGAUGCAGCAACGCCGCGUGAGUGAAGAAGUAUUUCGGUAUGUAAAGCUCUAUCAGCAGGGAAGAAGAUGACGGUACCUGACCAAGAAGCCCCGGCUAACUACGUGCCAGCAGCCGCGGUAAUACGUAGGGGGCAAGCGUUAUCCGGAUUUACUGGGUGUAAAGGGAGC